GACGAACCGUGCAAACGUUGUUCGGAAUCACUGGGCUUAAAGGGCGCGUAGGCGGGUGGUCAAGUCAGGGGUGAAAUCUUUCGGCUCAACCGGAAAAUUGCCUUUGAUACUGACCGUCUCGAGCGAGGUAGGGGCAUGUGGAACUUCCGGUGGAGCGGUGAAAUGCGUUGAUAUCGGAAGGAACGCCGGUGGCGAAAGCGACGUGCUGGACCUCUUCUGACGCUGAUGCGCGAAAGCUAGGGGAGCGAACGGG
This 253-nucleotide ribosomal RNA is filed under the name uncultured bacterium. Its description in RNAcentral is "partial 16S ribosomal RNA". It matches the Rfam family "Bacterial small subunit ribosomal RNA", at positions 524 to 776 of the family's 1533-position model. The record is from RNAcentral.